Molecule: long non-coding RNA, 1289 nt
Filed under: Fukomys damarensis (Damara mole-rat)
Lineage: Eukaryota; Metazoa; Chordata; Mammalia; Rodentia; Bathyergidae
Description: lncRNA (ENSFDAG00000024496.1)
Source: RNAcentral
AUUUAUUUGUGUAGUUUUACAUUCCGGUUUUGCAAUGAGCUGUGGGUCCAACUCUGGGGAUUCAACAGUAAUCAGCCAGGUAGGAUCCCAGCUCCUGAGCUUAGAUCUCAGCAAUCUUGAAGGUCAGCUAUCAGGGGUACAAUAUUUACGAAGAGAUGCUGGUAAAAACUCCAUUUUCUAAAACAAAUGUGAAAAGAGAACACUAAUCAGAUUCAUUAGCUAAAGAAUGGGGAUUAGAAUUAAGCCAUAGUCCUAAAACUGAUGAAGAUGAAAGCUUUGAAACUUGACAUAGGCCUGGGAGCAUUGAAAGUUACAUAUAAUUCUAGGAAGGGGCUGUGAUCCCAGAUAAAUCAGAGACCAUGUUCCAGAAUGGAGCAAACAGCAAGUGAGGACCCAACAUCCAACACUGGAUCCCUCUGAGGCUCUCAUGUGAGACCGCAUAAGAGGCAGUCUGGACAAAGGGCAUGAGUGAGGCUCCUGAAGAUGGAAUGAAUUAGUGUGCCCAGCCAGGGUGAAGCAGGAUGGCCAAAACAUGGGUGACAGGAGAGCAGUAUUAUCAUAUGAACACCCCUCCAUCUCACACCAGUGAGGCUUCCUGUGAAAGGAGAAAAGAUGGCCGUCCUUGCAUCUGGGGUCAAGUAGAGGAAGCUGGUCCCUUGCUCUUCUCAAAGGGUGAGUGUCUUUUAUUAGAGGGUAGGGGCGACUGUGGACUAGAGCUUAGUCCUUUACAGCCCGCUCUUUCGAAUGGCAUUGCUCAAGGGUCCAAUGCUGGCACCUGGCGGUCAUUUAAGUUACUGCACACUUUUCUUCCCUCCGGACUAAGUGGGAUCCCUUUCAGGUCUCUUCUCACCGAAAAAUGUGUUCCUCAUGUUCUCCUCUCACUUGCAUCUCAUGGCAUGUGUUUCCAGCUCUGUAGGUGGAAGCAGCAGGGUGCCUGCAAGUUGGAAUUAACGAAUAGGAGUAGACAAGAGGUGUGCAGUGAGAGCAGGGGCUAAGAGAUCAGCUAAGAGUAUUGCCAGAAGCUACCCCCAGAGAGGGAGGAGAGUGCUGGAAUGAAGGCCUCUCCUUCAUGCUGCAUUACCCGUCAUCCAGGCAGCCAGCCUAGCAGGGGGGGGUUAACAUCUUCAACAUAAAAAGUCAUGUUUAGGGCCGGGGAUUCAGCUCAGCGGUUCGGUGGCUUGCCUCGCAAGCGCAAGGACCCGAGUUCAAUUCCCCGGUAAAAAAAAAAAAAAAAAGAAGUCAUCUUUAAAAGAAAUUCAGAAAAGGAGAAGGAAAGAAUAAGAAACUAC